Long non-coding RNA from Quercus robur (English oak), 452 nucleotides. RefSeq lists it as uncharacterized. The record is from RefSeq and is a predicted model, not a curated record. The transcript has 2 exons. NCBI's taxonomy places the organism in Eukaryota, Viridiplantae, Streptophyta, Magnoliopsida, Fagales, Fagaceae.
UUUUCUUUAGGUUUUCUGGUUUUUUUUUUGGGUACUUUGUCUCUGUUUGGUUGCAGAGAAAAGUGAAACAGAAAAUUAGUGUCUUGAUAUGGUUUUCUUGCUGUUUUCGUUUGAAAGUUUAGGUUUUUAGUGCUUUGCUUAUUAUAUCUAAUGUUUCUUGUUUGGUUUCAGAGAAGGUGAAAGAAAAUUAGUCUUGUUUGUAUUAUGGUUUUUAUUGUUCUUUUGGUUUGGAAUAGAAGGUACAUCAAGUGCUUGCUUAUACCUUAUCUUAUAUUUGUUGUUUGGUUGCCAAGAAAGUGAUAAAAAUUUAGUCGUUUAUUAUUUGUUGUUUGGUUUUUUAGUUUGGAAAAAAAGCUUUAUUUAUUGUUUGGUUGCGUUGAAAAUGGAGGAAAUCAAAGCAAACUGAAAUUUUGAGGCGCUCUCUCUACAAAAAGAAGAGAAAUUUAAUAAGA